Long non-coding RNA from Quercus robur (English oak), 771 nucleotides. RefSeq lists it as uncharacterized. The transcript has 2 exons. The record is from RefSeq and is a predicted model, not a curated record. Lineage: Eukaryota; Viridiplantae; Streptophyta; Magnoliopsida; Fagales; Fagaceae.
GCCAAAAGCCUAAAACCCUAAAAUUUCCUUCUGCCCAAAACUGAAACCCGAUUAAAAAAACACUCCCCUUUCAACGCAAACACAGUAGCACAUGCUCAUCAAACUCCCUCACUUCUUCUUCAUGCAGUCCCAUCUCUUUCUUCAAACACACAAUUUCCUCCAUGCCUCUCUCUACAUACAUAUUCCCCUGCCUCCGGUCUUUUUCCCUUCUCUACCUUCAUUCCAAGCUUUCUUCUGUCACUCAAACCAAUAUCCUUUGUGAAGAAAGGCCAGCCCAUCAACAUGAAUCGAUACCCUUCGUUGAAAAUCUGUAUCCUCUCCAGCUACUACUUGAAAUGGCCGGAAUGCUUCAACGGUUGCAGAUGCGGCAAUGAAUGUAAGGUCCAAGUCUAUCCACCUCUCGACCCAACUGAUUGAGAAAGAGUUCGUCAGCUUAAUCUACUGUUGUUAAUUAAUAUGGGAUUCUUUUAUAAGAGACACAAGAGGUAUAUUAUAAUAUAUAUAUAUAUAUAUAUAUAUAUCUGUUGAUGGUUAAAUACAAGUACAUUUCAAGUACAAGGAGGGCAGAAAGCCAGGUUCAUGAUUAUGCAUUCAAUGUACGAAUACUUUCAAUUUUAUUAAUCUAUACAGGUAGGGAUCCAAGAUGAUGUAAUAUUCUCUUCUUAAUCAGCUUUGUAUAGACAAACACAAAGAAAAUUGGAAAGUCAAGAUCAGAAUAUCAAGGAUGUGGAAUGCAAUCAACUCAAAAAAUAAUGAUAUUAUUAGUUUAAA